RNAcentral lists this long non-coding RNA (1675 nucleotides) under Ricinus communis (castor bean). RNAcentral's name for it is "long non-coding RNA (RCOM_LNC001948)". Lineage: Eukaryota; Viridiplantae; Streptophyta; Magnoliopsida; Malpighiales; Euphorbiaceae. The record is from RNAcentral.
CCUCUUCCUCCUUAUCUACUUCUCCAUCCCAAAUUUUACCUUCUUCCUUUUGAGCUGUUUGGUAGUGGGAAAUUAAACCCCCAUCACCUCAUUUACUUUUUGCUAGUUUGCAGUUCACUGGUUUUUGCAUGAAUGACAUAAAGAGCCUUCUUGGGUCAGCCUUUAUAUAAGGGUUUAUAAUUAUAAGGUUGAUCAUAUAUGCUAUUAAUAAAUAGAAAAGAGCAGUGCCAUAACUGCAUAUUAGCUUAGGCAGACAUUCAUGUAAAAGCCAACCCAUCAAUUUCAUUCGUCUAUAAAUCAAGAAAAGCAUCAAUUCUCAAAAGAAGAAACAACAAAAAUGCCUUGGUUUUUCAUAAUAUUCUUUCUUUGCUCCACAUUUAAUCAUCUUUCAGAAGCUAGCCAUAACAAGAAACUUCCAUCUGCAGUUGUAGUUGGUACUGUUUACUGUGACACCUGCUUCCAUGAAGAUUUCUCGAAGAACAGUCACUUCAUUUCAGGUUCUUUAAUUUUAUAACAGCUUCCCCUAAUUGUUUCCUUUCUUUUUAAUCUGAACUCCUUUUACUGAUUCUGUUUCUCAAUUUAAUGUUUAUAUUGGAUUUUGCACACAGGAGCAACUGUUGCAGUGGAAUGCAAAGAUGAAAAUUCAAGUUUUCAUCAAGAAGUGAAAACAGAUGAACAUGGAGAAUUCAGAGUUCAUUUACCAUUCUCUGUUGGUAAACAUGUAAAAAGAAUCAAGAAAUGUUCAGUUAAGUUAUUAAGCAGCAGUGAGCCUUACUGUGCAGUGGCAUCAACAGCAACUUCAUCAUCACUACGUCUAAAAUCAAGAAAGCAAGGAUUACACAUUUUCUCAGCUGGCUUUUUCAGUUUCAAGCCACAAAAACAACCAAAUCUUUGCAACCAAAAACCAAGUAUCCAAGAUUCUAAAGAAUUCAAUUCCAAGAAAAUCUCAUCAAUACCUACUAUUGGUGCUGGCAGUAUUCCUUCAGUAUCAUCACCACUUCAAGACCCAACAAUUCCUAAUCUCCCUCCUGUAUCACCACCACUUCAAGAUCCAACAAUUCCUAAUCUCCCUCCUGUUAACCAACACUUUUUCCCUCUUCCUUUUCUUCCUCAGCUUCCACCAUUACCACAGCUUCCUCCUCUUCCACCUCUUCCAGGAUUACCUAAAUUUCCACCGAUCCCUGGGAAGACCACAAAAGAAGUUAAAACCUCCCCUGAAAGUGUGAAGAAAACACCAGAAUCAGGAGAAGAACAACCAGACUUUUUCUUUCCAACACCACCACUUUUUCCACCAAACCCUUUUCAACCACCACCAAUUCUUCCACCAAACCCACUUCAGCCACCUCCAUUAAUCCCUCCAUUGCUUCCUCCAAACCCAUUUCAGCCACCUCCAUUAUUCCCUCCUAACCCUUUUCAACCUCCUCCAUCUCCAUCGUUUCCUUUCCCACCAAUUCCUGGCCUAACUCCAUCACCACCUCCACCAGUCUUUCCUUUUCCUCCUUUCCCCCCAUUCCCUUUCCCUCCUUCGCCUCCUCGAAUUCCAGGAAUCCCCCCUGCAGCCUCUAGUACUACUUCAACCACCCACAAAACUUCUCCUUGAUUUAUCUGUCAAUGUAAAAUUAUCCAAUAAUGUCUUAGAGUAUUUAGACCAAAUUACCUUUUUCAUAUAUAUUUU